CAGUAGCCGCGGUAAUACGUAGGGUGCAAGCGUUAAUCGGAAUUACUGGGCGUAAAGCGUGCGCAGGCGGUUUGUUAAGACAGAUGUGAAAUCUCCGGGCUCAACCUGGGAACUGCAUUUGUGACUGGCAAGCUAGAGUGUGGCAGAGGGGGGUGGAAUUCCGCGUGUAGCAGUGAAAUGCGUAGAUAUGCGGAGGAACACCGAUGGCGAAGGCAGCCCCCUGGGCCAACACUGACGCUCAUGCACGAAAGCGAGGGGAGCAAACAGGAUUAGAUACCCCCGUAGUCCCUGUCUCUUAUAC
RNAcentral lists this ribosomal RNA (301 nucleotides) under uncultured bacterium. Its description in RNAcentral is "partial 16S ribosomal RNA". It matches the Rfam family "Bacterial small subunit ribosomal RNA", at positions 509 to 807 of the family's 1533-position model. The record is from RNAcentral.